RNAcentral lists this ribosomal RNA (253 nucleotides) under uncultured bacterium. Its description in RNAcentral is "partial 16S ribosomal RNA". It matches the Rfam family "Bacterial small subunit ribosomal RNA", at positions 524 to 776 of the family's 1533-position model. The record is from RNAcentral.
UACGUAGGUGGCAAGCGUUGUCCGGAUUUACUGGGCGUAAAGCGUGCGCAGGCGGUUCUGAAAGUCAGCUGUGAAAGCCCCGGGCUUAACCUGGGAAUGGCGGUUGAAACUACAGGACUAGAAUCUGGCAGAGGGGGGUGGAAUUCCACGUGUAGCAGUGAAAUGCGUAGAGAUGUGGAGGAACACCGAUGGCGAAGGCAGCCCCCUGGGCUGAGAUUGACGCUCAGGCACGAAAGCGUGGGGAGCAAACAGG